This 188-nucleotide unclassified non-coding RNA is filed under the name Pachyphlodes citrina. Its description in RNAcentral is "Pachyphlodes citrinus partial internal transcribed spacer 2". Lineage: Eukaryota; Fungi; Ascomycota; Pezizomycetes; Pezizales; Pezizaceae. The record is from RNAcentral. RNAcentral also lists the same sequence under 2 other names.
UCCUUUUAAUUAUCAAACUUUUAUGUAUAGAGAUGUAUGUAAAGAUGUUUGGAUAUAAAAUUGAGAAAAGUAGGUAUUAUUUAUAAUACUACUUUCUUAAAAACCAGAAAUAUUAUGUUUUGAUUUUUCUUCAAUCUCAUUUUGUAUAUUAUUUAACAAAUGAGUACGAGUAAAAAUAACAAUACUUU